RNAcentral lists this ribosomal RNA (449 nucleotides) under uncultured bacterium. Its description in RNAcentral is "bacterial SSU rRNA". It matches the Rfam family "Bacterial small subunit ribosomal RNA", at positions 354 to 795 of the family's 1533-position model. The record is from RNAcentral.
GUGGGGAAUAUUGGACAAUGGGCGAAAGCCUGAUCCAGCCAUGCCGCGUGUGUGAAGAAGGUCUUCGGAUUGUAAAGCACUUUAAGUUGGGAGGAAGGGCAGUAAGUUAAUACCUUGCUGUUUUGACGUUACCGACAGAAUAAGCACCGGCUAACUUCGUGCCAGCAGCCGCGGUAAUACGAAGGGUGCAAGCGUUAAUCGGAAUUACUGGGCGUAAAGCGCGCGUAGGUGGUUUUGUAAGUUGGAGGUGAAAUCCCCGGGCUCAACCUGGGAACUGCCUCCAAAACUGCAUGACUAGAGUACGGUAGAGGGUAGUGGAAUUUCCUGUGUAGCGGUGAAAUGCGUAGAUAUAGGAAGGAACACCAGUGGCGAAGGCGACUACCUGGACUGAUACUGACACUGAGGUGCGAAAGCGUGGGGAGCAAACAGGAUUAGAAACCCGGGUAGUC